UAGUGAUUAACGCGAAGAACCUUACCUGGCCUUGACAUCCCAGGAACCCUGAAGAGAUUCAGGGGUGCCGUAAGGAACCUGGAGACAGGUGCUGCAUGGCUGUCGUCAGCUCGUGUCGUGAGAUGUUGGGUUAAGUCCCGCAACGAGCGCAACCCUUGUCCUUAGUUGCCAGCAUUCAGUUGGGCACUCUAAGGAGACCGCCGGUGACAAACCGGAGGAAGGUGGGGAUGACGUCAAGUCAUCAUGGCCUUUAUGGCCAGGGCUACACACGUGCUACAAUGGGCGGUACAAAGGGUUGCCAACCCGCGAGGGGGAGCCAAUCCCAAAAAGCCGUUCGUAGUCCGGAUCGGAGUCUGCAACUCGACUCCGUGAAGUCGGAAUCGCUAGUAAUCGCAGAUCAGCAUUGCUGCGGUGAAUACGUUCCCGGGCCUUGUCACACCGAAUCGAAUUCC
This 452-nucleotide ribosomal RNA is filed under the name uncultured soil bacterium. RNAcentral's name for it is "bacterial SSU rRNA". It matches the Rfam family "Bacterial small subunit ribosomal RNA", at positions 951 to 1384 of the family's 1533-position model. The record is from RNAcentral.